This 191-nucleotide unclassified non-coding RNA is filed under the name uncultured Inocybe. Its description in RNAcentral is "sequence contains ITS2". The record is from RNAcentral. Lineage: Eukaryota; Fungi; Basidiomycota; Agaricomycetes; Agaricales; Cortinariaceae.
ACCUUAUCAACCACUUCAGAUUUUUUGAAUGUGGCUUGGAUGUGGGGGGUUCUUUGCCGGCCUUUAGAGAAAGGUCGGCUCCCCUGAAACGCAUUAGUGGCAUCUGAGCUGCUACUGUAGGUGUGAUAAAUAUCUAUGCCUUUGGUAUGCUGCAUGAACAGAUUGCGCUGCUCAAAACCCAAACUUGACAA